UACGGAGGGUGCAAGCGUUAUCCGGAUUUACUGGGUUUAAAGGGUGCGUAGGCGGGCCCUUAAGUCAGUGGUGAAAGCUCCGAGCUUAACUCGGAAACUGCCAUUGAUACUAUAGGUCUUGAAUUCGGUCGAGGUUGGCGGAAUGUGUCGUGUAGCGGUGAAAUGCUUAGAUAUGACACAGGACACCGAUUGCGAAGGCAGCUAGCUAGACCGACAUUGACGCUGAGGCACGAAAGCGUGGGGAUCAAACAGG
This 253-nucleotide ribosomal RNA is filed under the name uncultured bacterium. RNAcentral's name for it is "partial 16S ribosomal RNA". It matches the Rfam family "Bacterial small subunit ribosomal RNA", at positions 524 to 776 of the family's 1533-position model. The record is from RNAcentral.